This 433-nucleotide ribosomal RNA is filed under the name uncultured bacterium. RNAcentral describes it as "partial 16S ribosomal RNA". It matches the Rfam family "Bacterial small subunit ribosomal RNA", at positions 29 to 507 of the family's 1533-position model. The record is from RNAcentral.
AACGAACGCUGGCGGCAUGCCUAACACAUGCCAGUCGAACGAGACCUUCGGGUCUAGUGGCGCACGGGUUCGUAACGCGUGGGAACCUGCCCUUAGGUUCGGAAUAACUCCCCGAAAGGGGUGCUAAUACCGGAUAAUGUCUUCGGACCAAAGAUUUAUCGCCUUUGGAUGGGCCCGCGUUGGAUUAGCUAGUUGGUAGGGUAAAAGCCUACCAAGGCGACGAUCCAUAGCUGGUCUGAGAGGAUGAUCAGCCACACUGGGACUGAGACACGGCCCAGACUCCUACGGGAGGCAGCAGUGGGGAAUAUUGGAAAAUGGGCGAAAGGCUGAUCCAGCAAUGCCGGGUGAGUGAUGAAGGCCUUAGGGUUGUAAAGCUCUUUUACCCGGGAUGAUAAUGACAGUACCGGGAGAAUAAGCGCCGGCUAACUCCGUG